Triticum urartu is the source of this 3785-nucleotide non-coding RNA. NCBI's taxonomy places the organism in Eukaryota, Viridiplantae, Streptophyta, Magnoliopsida, Poales, Poaceae. The record is from RefSeq and is a predicted model, not a curated record.
AUCCCGCUGCGGCUGCCCAAUCACCCCGCCGCCCCUCCGCCUCCCGUCCCGCAGCAAAAAUCGCGACCCCUUGCCGCAGCAGCCUCUCAUCCCUCUCCCUCCCCGCCCCACCUUCAUCUUCAAGCGCCGUCGACCACCACCAACAUCUCCACCUCGCCGUGAAGGGUUCCGACCGGUGCCGGGACGGAGGUGCUGGAGGUCGGCUCUCUCUCCACGGUGCGCCGUCGUCAAGGCUUGGAGCACGCUGGGCGAGGAGUUGCGCCGCGGCCGUCCUCUGCUCCACCCCGGACGGUUAUAGCUUGUUUGAUCCCGAGAUCAUGCCAUGGAAAAAUUAAGUAGAUGGCAUACCACGACGAGGACCAGCAGCGCCAAACAGCCGGCCUUCAGGGUCUCCUUCCGGUUCCUGUAGCUGUAUGUACGUGCGACCAUGUGCUCUUUUUGGUGACUUGCUGCCUAGAGUUGCACUGGUAAUUGGAGUACAUCUAGGCAGCAGACCCUGGGCGUUGAGAAGAAUAUGUGAUUGUCCUCAACAACAUGGCGUGGAACCUCGCUGUCACCACGUCAUAUGUCUUACUGGUGCGGUUCGCUUCGACAGGCGGUUGGCAUCACGGCCCGGCCUCGACGGCUCCUCGGUGACCUGAAACUCGUGCAUGCCUUCCACGUGAGUGACUGAGUGAGUGCAUCUCCUCCCUGUCCAGAAUUCGUCAACACAUUGCCAUCUUCAUCUUCAGUUCAUAGUGCCCCUCCCUGCUUCAAGGAAACUCAACAAAUGAUUCCCAGGUUGCGCCCUCCUGUUCCAGUUCCAUGGUCGAAUGGGACAUGCGCCCAAGCUGGCGACAACAUCGUUUACUCCAACCUCAACCUUGCUGUCCAGCACGAGCCUCGUGCUGGAUGGCAAGAGGGUGCAGCAAGGCAGUAGGGUACAAAUAUGACGAUCAGGAGCGCCGAGCAGCUGGGGUUCAGGGUGAUAUUCUCAUCCCUGUUCCUCUAUGUAGGUGGCUGUGUAGCUGGAUGUCCAGCAUGUGCUUGUUGGUGGCUUCCUGCCAAGUAGGAGUAUUUCCUAGAGUUGCACUAGUAAUUCGAUAAGACGAUUAUAUAGAUGGGUAAUUAUUUCUUUGGUUAGUUAAAAUAAUUGGGCCUUUCCUUGUCGUCUAGACAAAUGACAUGACCCGUAGAUAUGCAUGUCAAAGAGUAAUUUUGUUUGUUUUACCAACUAAGUCAGAUUUCAUUUUUGACCAUUAGUAAUUUUGUUUAUCAAGAUAUGUAAGUAGCAACUCGCUAUAACUUUAAGAUAAAAUAUAAGCCAAUGGAUGAAAGGGAGGAAAUCGUUGACUCGGAAAUACAGAGCUUAAUUUAGCUGAUCAAAAGUUUUUGUUAUUGGUAAGCAAGAAACAAGCAGGAGGAGAUGUGCUUGUUCAAUCUCCCUUGUUGCAAGGGAAAAAAAGAGUGCAUUUUCGUUUGUUAGAAACAUCUCCCUUGUUAAGGGCAGGCAAACAGCUGGAAUUGAUCUGUUAGAAAACAAACAAAGGUGCAGCUGCCUUGCACUUGCAUACAUAUACAGUAGUAGUCAUAGGCAUAGAACAAGGAAGGAAAGACGACAAGUAAACUGGCAAACCCUUAAUGCUCAAGUAAUAAGAAGUAGUAUUAAUAUGGAUUUGGCAGUCGUAACGGGGUAUCUAUCUGAGCAUACUGGCUAGUUUUACUUGGGAAAUCAAUCAUAUGAAGCUACCUUAAUCUAGUACUAGUAGAUUGGAGACGCAAAAAGUUUUGGCCUUUUAUAGUUCAAAACACUCAAUGGAUGACCUUUUCCUUUGGUGCACAAUAUAGAGGUUCUAUUGAAUGGCUUUGUCUGACCCUGCACUUGAAGAAGACAACUUUUCUUUCUUGUUGCUUCUCUCUCUUUCUCUCCUGUAAUAUCUUCUGUUCUCUUGUCUUGUCCCCUAGAUACUAGUAAUAUUGUGAAAUAAAUUUAGUAGUCCAGAAGAGAAGAAGGUCUAGUCUUGCCUGGAUGAGGCGGAGCGUGAGGUUGGUUCUAGACACACCUCACAGUAGCGUCGAGGAGAUGGUGGAGAUCAGCAAAAAAUUAGGUCAUCCACCAUGGAUCUUCUCUUUGUCUCCAAGCAGCUUCUCCAUGCCCUUGAUGAGAUUGGGCCAACGCUGCUGGCCCUCAGGCAAGACAUUCGACAAAAUGUUCAGGUGAUUGCUCUAGAGGCCAUAUCAAUCUUCCCUGGGUUUUUAUCCCAAGAUACUGCAUGACAUGGCCUGAGAGCAUGGUAAUAUUUCUUGCACUUGUACCUAUCUAGUUCACCGAUUUGUGUUGAUUGAAUCCAUGGUGGGGUCGUGGGGCUCUGUAUCUAUCUAGUACGGAGUACAACUGUAUUCCAAGCAAUUUACUCUCUUGACUGCUGUUGGACUUCCUCUGUCCCGGCUUCCAUUGUGCUGCCUUGAACAGAUCCAUCCGCCUUGUCGCUGAUCUCAUCCAACCUCUGGGGUGGCAGUUUGCAGUCAUUAUUCAGAGCACCAUGCAUCCAAGGCGCUGACCCGGCGCCCACCGGGUGAAGCGUUUAAUCAAGUGAAGCCACCUCCACGCUCACGGACCUGGCCUCUGGUGCCCAGCCGCCGCUUCUGCUUCGUUGUCCCCAUAGCGCGACCAUCCGACGAAUACGCCGCUGUUGUGUUCUGCUCUCCUGUGAAGCACCAAAGUUGCGCUUCCACAACAAAUGAACUUCUAGAUUGUUUGAUUCUACCACAAGAAAGCUCAGGUAUGCUUGACGAAGUAAGUUUUUCGACGAACUGAUGGGUCUAAUCCUCUUCCAUUAGUUGCUUGUGAAGUAAGCCUAGUUUCGCUUGUUAAGGUGCAAGAGAUGUUUGGUUUUGAUCUAGCCAAGCCAAAGGAGUUCAUUGACACAUCUGGCCAUGUCUUCUUUCAUUCCUUUUUCUCAGGGCGUGAUGUUGCUGGUCUUAUUUGGAUAUCCAUGGUGUUCUCAGUCGCUAUCGACAGCCAAACACAAGUAGGUAUUGAAGUGUUGCAAGCCGAGCGUGAGAUGCCAAUAGACACAAACUGUUGGGCGAAUUUGACCUUGUUGGUAUCCUACCAGAACUAAGGGGCUCACCAUAGAUCGAGGUAACGUUCAACAUCGAUGUCAAGAAUCUCCAGGAAUUCUAGUCAUCUUCGUCCAUCUCGACAAGUUCUACAAUGAUGGGCUAUACAGAUUAAUGCAAACAUUACACACACAUACCUCGGCUUCCCUCCAGUGCGAUGCCAACGGUUUGGCCGCAACCUUGGCGCUAUGGGUCACCUCAUCCUUGGAUCUGGCUUAGGGAGAUUGAUGACACGUGGAGCCGGUUUGUCGACGGAAGGCACUUGACGUCGAGACCGUCUAGCAGCCGUACACGGUGUGAUGAUCUGGACUCCCAUGACUACCUCUUGAGCUACACCUAUUUAGGGGAAAGAGAAGUUUGAUUUUAAUCCGGCCAAGCCGAACGAGUUCUGGCUUCUUGCACUUCUUAUUCCGAGGGUUGUGGUUGCUGGUCUUAAUUGGAUAUCCAAGAAAAAUUAGCUUAUUCUUUGAGGUCGUCUAAUAUUCUACAAUCAUGGAUUGCGCAACCGUGGCAGUGGUGGUCGCCUCUUAUUGGUUCAGGUGCCACUUUUGGUUUGGUCUGGUGCAGGGCAAGGUGAUGCAUGUGGUGUGGCCGCUCCGCGAGCUGGGCAGAGUUGCUCGCCAAGAUCUCAUCUCCCAAUAAAGCAUGAAUUUUUGGACCUCAACAUCUAUUCCUCUGUUCAA